This 497-nucleotide ribosomal RNA is filed under the name uncultured bacterium. RNAcentral's name for it is "partial 16S ribosomal RNA". It matches the Rfam family "Bacterial small subunit ribosomal RNA", at positions 28 to 507 of the family's 1533-position model. The record is from RNAcentral.
GAUGAACGCUGGCGGCGUGCCUAAUACAUGCAAGUCGAGCGAACAGACGAGGCGCUUGCUCCUCUGACGUUAGCGGCGGACGGGUGAGUAACACGUGGAUAACCUACCUAUAAGACUGGGAUCACUUCGGGAAACCGGAGCUAAUACCGGAUAAUAUAUUGAACCGCAUGGUUCAAUAGUGAAAGACGGUUUUGCUGUCACUUAUAGAUGGAUCCGCGCCGCAUUAGCUAGUUGGUAAGGUAACGGCUUACCAAGGCGACGAUGCGUAGCCGAUCUGAGAGGAUGAUCAGUCAGGCUGGAACUGAGACACGGUCCAGACUCCUACGGGAGGCAGCAGUGGGGAAUAUUGGACAAUGGGCGAAAGCCUGAUACAGCCAUGCCGCGUGUGUGAAGAAGGUCUUCGGAUUGUAAAGCACUUUAAGUUGGGAGGAAGAGCAGUAAGUUUAAACCUGGCUGUUUUGACGGUACCAAAAGAAUAAGCACCGGCUAACUUCGUG